CAAUCCUCAGAUCUCAGCCUCCUGGGUAGCUAGGAUUACAGGCAUGAGUUUUGGAUUUUUAAAAAUAGAUUUCUAUGUGCACAAAAUGACAGAACCUAGAAAGUUCUUAAGUCCCUCAGUUCCACUCAGUAUACAAAGAGUGUGAGUCCAGCAAAGAAAGUCAAACUUCCAGUGAUGUCAUAGGAUGGCCAGGUGACAUCAUAGGGCGGUUUGAUCACAUCACAGGAUGCCUUGGUGACAUCCUAUAAUGCCCUGUUGGCAUCAGGGGGUAUCUUAGUGAUGUCAUAGGAUAUCGUGGUGAUGUCAUAGGAUGGUUCCGUUUUGACACAUACUUUGCUUUUCCAGAUGGACUCGUUUUGUACUUUUCCCAAAAUACCCGCAUUAUGGAUUUAAUAACUCUGGGCUUAACGUUAUUGUUGUGGCAAAUUUGUGUGCUCCCAAAACAAAUUUUGAAUUUAGCAUCAAGCUUAAGCGUUCUUUCAGGGGCCGUUUUCUCCUGCAAACCUGGGUCUGGACUGGGCAGACUCUAUCACCGUGAAGAAGUCUUCUCCUUGGAGCCAACGUUAGUCCAAGCAUAGAAGCAGAUGUUAGUCAGCAAGCAUAGUCCUUGUUUGCCUUUCUGUACAUUUCAAUCGCAGCUUAUCUGAAGACUCUCUGAAGAAUGCCUCUGGUCAUGGGCACAGACACAGAUAGACACAGCAGCCACACCCUAAGGCGGGCCAGCGGGCAUGAGUGGCAGGGCUGAGAAGCUGCCCCUUCUCUGUGAGACAGACACUCCCUGGAAAUCCUUCUGAAAGCUUGUGUUCACUCUGAACACAAACAGUUAGCCUAUGCUGUUAUCCCGGCGUUCCGCAGAGCAUGAGAUUUUCAGUGAACUCACUUUUGUGUUUACAACACAGUGGUCACAGCUCAUGAUAUCUCCACACAGCUAAGAAUGUACAAUUUUUACACAGGAGACAUACCAUCUGGUGUUUUCUUUGUUAUUUUUAUCCAUUGCUCCUCAAGAGGAAUUAUUCUUCAUAAUGUCUUAGGAAGAUACUCACUAAUUAAAUCUACCAAGACUGGCAAAAAAAAAGGAAGUAGGGUAAGAAAGAAGGACAGAGAAAAGAUGAACACAAGCAAACCAAUUUAAAAAAUAAUAGCUAAUGAAAUAAGCAAUUUAAAUGUUGGGUUUUCCUAAAGGCAUUUACAAGUUGUAAUAUAAC
This is a long non-coding RNA of Dipodomys spectabilis (banner-tailed kangaroo rat), 1205 nucleotides long. RefSeq lists it as uncharacterized. NCBI's taxonomy places the organism in Eukaryota, Metazoa, Chordata, Mammalia, Rodentia, Heteromyidae. The record is from RefSeq and is a predicted model, not a curated record. The transcript is spliced from 2 exons.